This 468-nucleotide ribosomal RNA is filed under the name uncultured bacterium. RNAcentral describes it as "partial 16S ribosomal RNA". It matches the Rfam family "Bacterial small subunit ribosomal RNA", at positions 28 to 507 of the family's 1533-position model. The record is from RNAcentral.
GACGAACGCUGGCGGCGUGCUUAACACAUGCAAGUCGAACGGAAAGGCCCUGCUUUUGUUGGGUGCUCGAGUGGCGAACGGGUGAGUAACACGUGAGUAACCUGCCCUUGACUUUGGGAUAACUUCAGGAAACUGGGGCUAAUACCGGAUAGGAGCUCCUGCUGCAUGGUGGGGGUUGGAAAGUUUCGGCGGUUGGGGAUGGACUCGCGGCUUAUCCGCUUGUUGGUGGGGUAGUGGCUUACCAAGGCUUUGACGGGUAGCCGGCCUGAGAGGGUGACCGGCCACAUUGGGACUGAGAUACGGCCCAGACUCCUACGGGAGGCAGCAGUGGAGAAUAUUGCACAAUGGGCGGAAGCCUGAUGCAGCAACGCCGCGUGCGGGAUGACGGCCUUCGGGUUGUAAACCGCUUUCGCCUGUGACGAAGCGUGAGUGACGGUAAUGGGUAAAGAAGCACCGGCUAACUACGUG